Molecule: long non-coding RNA, 970 nt
Filed under: Malus domestica (apple)
Lineage: Eukaryota; Viridiplantae; Streptophyta; Magnoliopsida; Rosales; Rosaceae
Description: long non-coding RNA (MDOM_LNC007316)
Source: RNAcentral
UCAAUAGAAGUGGCCAUUGAGAUAGUCCACCAUCAAUCAUUUUGGUCAUUUCGUGCAAAAUUAUGUUAAAUAAGGAUCAAAAUGGUAAAUAUACCCUCAAUUUAAUAAACAAUGGGUCAAAAUAAGUUGACAUAAAUUAAGGGUAUUUUGGUCAUUUCACAAAAUGACCAAAAUGAUUGAUAGUGGACAAACUCAUUGACCAAUUUUAUUGAUUUCAAAUCUCAGAGACCAAAAUGAGGAGUUAUACAAAUCUCAAAGACCAUUUUGACUAAAAAACCUUUAUAUUAAUGUGUCCAAGGUAAUUAAUUUGAAGACAAACAUCCCAAUUGUAGCUUAAAAAGAUAAUAUCAUAACUAAAAAGAGCCCACGAACUAGAGUUGGCCGAUACAAAUGUCUAGCAUCAAUAAUAGGCAACCUAGAAGAAACUAGCCCUUGAAUAAGUUGAUCUUUAACUGCAGCUGCAUCAUCACUUUUCAUUUUGUAAUUCAUUCCAGUAUACCUAUCAAAAACUUUUUCACUCAAACAAAAAAUUAGGUAACCCAAAUGUUGUUCAAACGCAUAUAUAACUUACAAAAAAUCAUUAUAACAAGAAAAAAAAAUGCUGAUACUCAAGAUACAUCACAUCCUUCCUACAAUACACUUGAUCAAAUGGUUGGCACCUAUUUACGUUAUAAAUCACUUUACCUAUAUAUAUUUGUCACCACACUUGGAAAUAUAGGUGGUGGUCAAACCGAAUACCAUGAUCGAUCUCCAAAUAACAGAAAUGAAUUUGCACAAGUUAUUUGAUGCCCAAGUUAUUAAACAAGAAGAGGCCGUUCCUAAAAAACAAUGAGACCCAAAUACUCAAUCAUAAACGACGACUAAUUUAUAAAUCAAGGCAAGUAGACUUGGUGAGAAACAAGAAUUCAAACAAAAAUCCAUCACAACAAAGAGAAUACAACACACACCCAAUUCCUCAUAUGAGCUAAUA